Acanthochromis polyacanthus (spiny chromis) is the source of this 2920-nucleotide long non-coding RNA. RefSeq lists it as uncharacterized. The transcript has 2 exons. NCBI's taxonomy places the organism in Eukaryota, Metazoa, Chordata, Actinopteri, Pomacentridae. The record is from RefSeq and is a predicted model, not a curated record.
ACGUAGAACCUUAGACACUGAUAUUGCAAUCAAAUUUAGUAUUAGGGCCUCACUUUAUUGCCCUCCUACAUAACAAAUGCAGCCACGGUGUGAACUUGAUUUCACUUUUCUCUCUUUCCUCCCACCAUCCCCCCUACUUUUACUAAUAAAGCCACAUUCCCUGCUGAUGGAAAAUUGUCGGUUUACCUCAAGCUGCGGGGGGCCUGGCAAUCAGGCCUUAGAAAAGCAGUGCCAGGUUAACCUGCUGUGAUAGUGGACUCUAGGGACAGUGCCCCACCUCUGCUUGACAUGCAGGGGCUCUGCUCACCAAUAAGAGGCAUGCCUGAUGCACAAUAGAGUUGUUACCAGCCUCUUCAAUUUAACAUUAUAAACAACAACCUUCUGGUCAGAACUAUGCAUGUCUAAAGUCGUUUCAUUAUUUCCCACAUCCUGCCUGAUUGAAUUUGUGCUUUUGAUUGUGAUAAGAAUAGUGUAUUUAUUAAUUUUUUUAUCGAAUCUUUUCUUUCUUUCCGUUCCUACUUCCUAAUUUCAUGUGAAUUCUUGAUUGCUCUGAUUGCUUCGGUACCUUCUAGCUAAGCCAACAAUGGUGCCAUACGUUAGUUACACAAAGGCAUAGUCUUUGAGAGUCAAUCUUGCCCAUCUCCUCGAGGAACUGUUAAUGGGACACUUACAGUAUGGGGGUUCACAAGUCUAGAAUGGAGAUGUGCAAUAGCAACUCGCAUUUCUACACCUUCCCUCUGAACUAUAGGUCCAAGCUGAGCAUAAGGAAUCACGCGACUUAACAAUAGAUUGUAAGGCAGAGGAGCUUCAAGUGGUUCUUAACCUGAGCACUCCGAAGCUUUUUCAAUGCAGAUGCUUUCAGAAUCACUGUAAAAGUGCUGCAAAUGGACAAUUUACCUGUUGUUUUGAAGCGUGACUGCACACAGGAGCAUUUACGUCACAACACAUAGUCAACACUCAGCCAAAUUUAUUUUCUUGUAGAGCCCAGAGAGAGUGUUUUAGAACAGGUUAUGCCGCUAUUGUCUGAAGCUACCAACGCUUCCUCCGAGUAAAUUGCAGCUACAGAUGGAGGAGCAGUUUACCCACAGAAGGGGUCAUUAUCAAUCAGGCUCCGGAGCAUGUAGUGUUGGGUCAUUUUAUCCGGCCACGGCUUCUGUGAGACUGAAGUGUACACCUGGCAUGGUGUCAAGAAUCGGGGUGUCAUUUGCAAGCUAAUCACAUUUUUCAUGCAAGCCCCUUCGUAUUGACUUGGCCAUAUUUGAUUUAAUGAAGUGAAUUAAUUAGACUGAAUUGAAUUUAGGAACUCUUCAGAUAGCAGGAAAAAUUAGUCGGGCAACCAGUUUGUGAUGUGUCACAUUCUGCUUUGCUUCUUGUUUCUGUCUUCGUGCCUCUCAGCUACAGCCUACUUCUCUAUGCUCAAUUAAUAGCCACUGGAUGGCAUUUUUAGGGUCAAUGAGGAGCUUAUUUCUCAUGAUGUGAUAAUUAUGGUAAUGCUUGAAAGAUGUCUAAGUUUUAUUUAGAACGUCAAAAUUAAAAUAUUGGUAAUAUAUCAGAAAACAAACCAGUAUUUGCCCUCAUAAAGGAGCAGAAAUGUCAUUUUUGUGCUGGUAAUUGGUUGGUUCAGCUACACUUUUAUCCAGAUGAAAAUAUCAACAAACAAUUUUCCAUAAACAUCAAAUUGCAUUGAAUCUGCAGCAUCUCCUUACUUUAGGUGUCCAUGUUGUUCACAAUGAGAAAUCUCUCUCUAGAAAAUAAUGAGUCUUAUUGUGAAAGAGGGCUUGUUUUUGCAAAAUAAAAGCACAUUUCCAAAGAAGCUGGAAACAGCUGGAUAUACACAAAAACAUAAAUUGAAAAAUGAUCCUUUAUAAUUCUUUCUGUGCCAUGUCUACACAGAUGCCUUUAGGGUUAAGUCCCUUCGUGGGAGUAAAUGUAAAGUUAAUGCUGUGUUUUUGUUUUUUGUUUCGAAUGUUGUGAUGGCAACAAGUGGCUCAAAAAGCUUCUUUGCUAUACGUUGCUGCUGUUGUGAUGCAGUUGGUGAUAGAUUUCUUCGUAUAUGCAUGCUGUUGUCUGUUACUUAAUUAGCCUCCAGUUUCAGCACCACAUGCUCCUCAGGUACAUUUGUUUGUGUUUGCAGCUGUGAGGAGAGUUUGCAGGUGUCGUUUGUGCUUGCUGUAUUUAUAUUUGUUUAUGUAUAACCUUCCACGCACAUGAGAAGGAAGUUCUACAUCCUCCUCUCGUUUUUCUUUUAUUGCCGUAGUCACACUAACAUUUACAAAUUAGACAGUAGGUGCAACAAAGUAUAUUGAAAGUAGCACAAAACAAAAAACUAUAUAUUCAUGUAAACUGGAGGAAUGUGUGAGGAGGAGAAAAGAUUAAAUAUAAUAAAUAAAAUUCUUAUUUUCAUCUAUGUUGCAAACCUUUCAGAGGCGCUUUAUUCCCAGCUUCUGUCACUGGACUGUCACCACAGCUUCUGGGAUCAAGCUCUUAUGUUCGCUCGCCCCUGUCUCCCUGCACUCAGCCACCUGAUUGCUGCAUGAGCUUCAGCUGCAGGCAAUCAGUCAGUUCCUCUCACCUGUUCCCUCAGCUAUAUAAACCCUCUGCUUCCCUCAGUCUUCGCUGGAUCAUUGUUUGCCUUUACUACUUUGCCACAGCCUCUGUUCCCCAUCUAUGGACUACUUUUGUUUCUGGACCUUUGCUGCUUCUUCCCUUUGUGGAUUACCCCUCCCUUUUGGUCACUUGGAUUACUUCAGUCUGUAUUUUGCUCCCUUGUUUGAGUUCCUCUGUAGUGUGAGUACUUCCCCUCUGCUUUGUUGUAUGGAGCCUUGUAGUGCCACAGCAUUAGUUAAUUUGGUUUUUGCCCUGCUGCCCCAGUUCUAGUUGCUGUAGUUGUGUUUUCGUUAAAUAAAAACCUUUUCCAUUA